RNAcentral lists this long non-coding RNA (1588 nucleotides) under Canis lupus familiaris (dog). Its description in RNAcentral is "lncRNA (ENSCAFG00000051660.1)". Lineage: Eukaryota; Metazoa; Chordata; Mammalia; Carnivora; Canidae. The record is from RNAcentral.
GGUGAUUCUAAAAUCAGGCCAGGGUUGAGUGUGAAAGGAUCCCAAGUAUAUUUAUGAAAGUUGAGUCCAGCCUUUGGCCUGGGGCUUAGAUAUUGAGGAUGGUUCUGCAUGGAUCUGGUAGGGCAGGUCAGUACAGCACACAAUGUACGUUUUGUGGCUAAAUUUUAGGGCAUCUGGGGGAGGAGAGAGCCCUUAACGACAGGAAAGGAGAAGCUUCAAGUUUGGUCUCCAUGUAGGAGCUCAUUGCUCCUGAAUCUCCUGCAACAAAGGACAGGAAUGGGUGGACUUUCUGUAGUUCAUGUCUCUUCUGUCUGCAGAAGCGGUAGUAGUAGGUGAAGGGUCAGGGCCGAAGCCUUCAAAGAUGUUCUGAAGGUGAUUGUUUGAUUUGUCCACAUUAUCUCACCUGAGGAAGAAACCCAGUGAAGAAAAGAGGAAGAUACAGCAGAUUCUCAAGCUUCUGAUCUGCCUUGAGUGACCUCCACUAUUAAUUAUGGACUUGCAACUCUUGAAGAUGUUCCCUUUGUGAGAGAGGAACUGGGAAGGUGUUGCUAUACAAGAUUCCCGUAUGAGAUGAGGCUCAUCCGAUUAAGCUACAAUCAGAACGUCUGAGAGUUAGUGGGCUUGCUGCUUCCGACCACAAGUUUAUCUUGCCACAGAAGCCGACCAGCUUGCAGUAGGCCUGGCUUGGGGGCCCUGGGCCAGGGCUUCCUCAACUUGUCUGCCCAGAUGCCUGCAGUUGAUUCAAGCAAGUGCAACAGGUUUUCCAGAUCUAAGGAUCCUGUUUGACCGGAAUAGAGACUUGAAAAAGAGACUAAAGGUAACUUCAGGGGCAUAGAUUAAGAGUUGAAGCACUCCGCGAGGGGGUCAAGUUUUCCAAACCACGCUUUUGCUGUCCUAGCCCACCAGUAAGGUUCGAUCUGUUACUUGUACUUUUAUGGGUUUCGCAUUGCCCAGCCCAAAGGUCUCCUCUCCCGGUGUCAGGGAGUUCCCCGAUCUUCAGCAGGUCUGGGGCAGGCCGUGGGGAGAGGGGAUGGGUGAGCCUGGCCGGGCCCAGCCGAGUCCCUCCUUAGCCCCCGCCCCGGCCUCCGGCCUCCUGACCCGGGCAGCGCGGGGCUGCAGCGAGCCCGCGUCGCACCGCCCCCUGCCUCGGGCCGCCCGCCAGGAGUUCGAGGCCUCCCGAUCCGGAUGUGAUGAAAAAGAGCCACCGAGGGAGAAGUGUUUGAGGAGCGGAGGGGGGCGGAGGGGAAAGGGAGGCCGAGAGGGGACGCGCCCCUCGGCGGGCAGCGGGGAGCCGGGAGCCGGGAGCCGGGAGCCGGGAGCGGGCCGGACCGAGCGGGCCGCGGAGGGGGGCGGGGGCCGGGGAGCCGGGGGCGGGGGGGCGGGCGCUGCAGUGUCGGGGCCGAGCCGGAGGGAGGCGGGGAGCGCCGCGCAGGGGCGGCCGCCGGGCCACCGGGCCGCAGGGGCGAGAUGCCGCCGCCGCGCCGCUAACUUUCCGGGCGGAAGAGGAGGAGGAGGAGGAGGAGGAGGAGAAGGGGCUCCGAGAGAGCUGGGGGGGAUGCCGAGUCGGCUGUCGGCGGCCAGCGCCUAG